This 698-nucleotide ribosomal RNA is filed under the name Ophiostoma distortum. RNAcentral's name for it is "eukaryotic LSU rRNA". It matches the Rfam family "Eukaryotic large subunit ribosomal RNA", at positions 148 to 873 of the family's 3401-position model. The record is from RNAcentral. Lineage: Eukaryota; Fungi; Ascomycota; Sordariomycetes; Ophiostomatales; Ophiostomataceae.
AUUUGGAGAGGAUGCUUUUGGCGCGGCGCCGUCCGAGUUCCUUGGAACAGGACGCCAUAGAGGGUGAGAGCCCCGUACGGGCGGCCGCCUAGCCUUUGUAAAGCUCCUUCGACGAGUCGAGUAGUUUGGGAAUGCUGCUCAAAAUGGGAGGUAAAUUUCUUCUAAAGCUAAAUACCGGCCAGAGACCGAUAGCGCACAAGUAGAGUGAUCGAAAGAUGAAAAGCACUUUGAAAAGAGGGUUAAAAAGUACGUGAAAUUGUUGAAAGGGAAGCGCCUGUGACCAGACUUGCGGCCCGUGGAUCAUCCGGUGUUCUUCACCGGUGCACUCCGCGGGCUGCAGGCCAGCAUCGGUUUUCCUGGGGGGAUAAAGGUCGCGGGAACGUAGCUCCCUCGGGAGUGUUAUAGCCCGUGGCGUCAUGCCUCUGGGGGGACCGAGGACCGCGCUUCGGCAAGGAUGCUGGCGUAAUGGUCACCGGCGACCCGUCUUGAAACACGGACCAAGGAGUCAAGCAUUGGGGCGAGUGUCUGGGUGCCAAACCCGCACGCGAAAUGAAAGUAAACGCAGGUGAGAGCUUCGGCGCAUCACCGACCGAUCCUGAUGUUCUCGGAUGGAUUUGAGUAAGAGCCUUACCGCUUGGACCCGAAAGAUGGUGAACUAUGCCUGUAUAGGGUGAAGCCAGAGGAAACUCUGGUGGAGG